GUCUGAACCAGCCAUGCCGCGUGAAGGAUGAAAGCCCUCUGGGUUGUAAACUUCUUUUAUCUGGGAAGAAACCACCUUUUUCUAAGGGUGUUGACGGUACCAGAGGAAUAAGCACCGGCUAACUCCGUGCCAGCAGCCGCGGUAAUACGGAGGGUGCAAGCGUUAUCCGGAUUCACUGGGUUUAAAGGGUGCGUAGGCGGAUUCUUAAGUCCGUGGUGAAAUCUCCAAGCUUAACUUGGAAACUGCCAUGGAUACUAUUAGUCUUGAAUGUUGUGGAGGUUAGCGGAAUAUGUCAUGUAGCGGUGAAAUGCAUAGAUAUGACAUAGAACACCAAUUGCGAAGGCAGCUGGCUACACAAAUAUUGACGCUGAGGCACGAAAGCGUGGGGAUCAAACAGGAUUAGAUACCCUGGUAGUCCACGCCCUAAACGAUGAUUACUCGACAUUUGCGAUACACAGCAAGUGUCUGAGCGAAAGCAUUAAGUAAUCCACCUGGGAAGUACGACCGCAAGGUUGAAACUCAAAGGA
Molecule: ribosomal RNA, 527 nt
Filed under: Bacteroidetes bacterium Jbg21
Lineage: Bacteria; Pseudomonadati; Bacteroidota
Description: bacterial SSU rRNA
Rfam family: Bacterial small subunit ribosomal RNA
Source: RNAcentral